RNAcentral lists this long non-coding RNA (969 nucleotides) under Arabidopsis thaliana (thale cress). Its description in RNAcentral is "[] (AT2G23040)". Lineage: Eukaryota; Viridiplantae; Streptophyta; Magnoliopsida; Brassicales; Brassicaceae. The record is from RNAcentral.
AUGGACUUCUGCAUUCAAAAAACAAAACAAACACAUAAAAUAUUAGCGAAAGUCUCUCAUCUAAUGAGAAGCACAUAGAGCUGAUAAACAUAAAAAUCGAAACUUUAUUUAUCUUUGUUGUUCUCUUUGGGUCACAAUAGACCGGCCCAUUAGCCUAGUCACACCGGCCCAUUAGCCCAGUCAACUCCAUUGUAGAAGAGAGGACUUGAUUUUGGGUGAGAUUGAGAGAGAGAAGAAGAGAAUCGUCAAGUGUUUAUGGUGGUGAAAGUUAUAAGAAUCGUUAAAUUUGACGAAAGGGCACGAGACUAUGCACACCAGUUGCUCGACGAAUUGUCUAACUAAGAAGAUCAGUAUAAAGUUGAAGUUGAUCAAUUUGUGGAGCAUGGAUCCUGAAUAUACCGACGAUUUAUUAAAGUGCGUCUUUGUUUUCAGUUUUACGCUUAUUUUUCGUGUGUGCAUUGCGUAUAAUGAUUUACCGUUGUUAGCACAUCAACAGCCAUUUGGAGAAGCAAACUGAAUUGCUUUUAGAAACUCGUAAAACGAUGACUCAAGAACUCCAAACACUUGAGGUGGAAGAAGAGAUGAUGAUGCGGAAAUUCUAUGAGUUAAUGUCUAGACAGCGCUUAAAUAAGAAGAAAAUGGAGAAGACUCAAAAUGUGUCACAUGGUAAAGAAAUAGUUGAAGUGGAAGAUACUUCUAGUACAUCCAGAGAGUUAAUCGUAUAUGUAAGGAAAAGGAAAAAGAAUCAAAAGCCAACAUAAUGAAGAUAUCCAUUUCUUGUUUAAGUGAUGGAUAUAGUUUUCACAUUGUUUAUGGUGUGCAAUAAUAAGUUGUAUUUUUUGAGUGAUGAAAAUUUAUACGGGUAUGUAGUCAUGAACCUUGUAAGAUGUUCUUGGGGUCAUAAGAGUUUUAUCUGAUCCUGCGAGACGAUAAUUUAAUAACAUUACAAGCAAAAUAUAUCCAUUGAAG